ACUGUUGAUCAUUUUCACCGGCUAAAGGGCCUUGGUUGGACAAAUACACUCCCUAGACAGGGGAAGAGAGACGGAGACGAAGCUCGAGAGAGGCCGAUAUAGAGCCCGAGCCGGGGCUGGGGGCGGGGAGGAAAAGAGCGCACGCUGCGGGGACUGCGUGCCUGCAGGGGCGCCACUACUUCUCAGGAACCUGAUCGUUUCUACUAUGAUUAUGACACUGUUCGUACCGUGGGACUUACUCUGGCCACCAUCAUGUUUGUUCUGGGCAUUCUCAUUAUACUCAGCAAGAAAGUGAAGUGUAGGAAGUCAG
Dromiciops gliroides (monito del monte) is the source of this 310-nucleotide long non-coding RNA. RefSeq lists it as uncharacterized. Lineage: Eukaryota; Metazoa; Chordata; Mammalia; Microbiotheria; Microbiotheriidae. The record is from RefSeq and is a predicted model, not a curated record. The transcript has 4 exons.